CUACGGGGGGCUCCAGUGGGGAAUAUUGCACAAUGGGCGCAAGCCUGAUGCAGCCAUGCCGCGUGUAUGAAGAAGGCCUUCGGGUUGUAAAGUACUUUCAGCGGGGAGGAAGGGAGUAAAGUUAAUACCUUUGCUCAUUGACGUUACCCGCAGAAGAAGCACCGGCUAACUCCGUGCCAGCAGCCGCGGUAAUACGGAGGGUGCAAGCGUUAAUCGGAAUUACUGGGCGUAAAGCGCACGCAGGCGGUUUGUUAAGUCAGAUGUGAAAUCCCCGGGCUCAACCUGGGAACUGCAUCUGAUACUGGCAAGCUUGGGUCUCGUAGAGGGGGGUAGAAUUCCAGGUGUAGCGGUGAAAUGCGUAGAGAUCUAGAGGAAUACCGGUGGCGAAGGCGGCCCCCUGGACGAAGACUGACGCUCAGGUGCGAAAGCGUGGGGAGCAAACAGGAUUAGAUACCCGAGUAGUC
RNAcentral lists this ribosomal RNA (464 nucleotides) under uncultured bacterium. RNAcentral describes it as "partial 16S ribosomal RNA". It matches the Rfam family "Bacterial small subunit ribosomal RNA", at positions 339 to 795 of the family's 1533-position model. The record is from RNAcentral.